GGAGGUGGGGGGCGGGGCUGUGGCUGGAUCAGCGGCAUUAUGUGCACAGUCCCCAUGUGGGCUUUGCAGCCUCCAUAUGAUCAUACCCGAGCCUUCUGAAGACCCCCAAAUCCGUGCCCCGACCCCAGGAGCUGACCCUGUGAGGGUUUUGUGUUCCCUUAUGCUUUACAUGCUUGAUUUCAUCUCCCCUUACUGCAGACUGUCAUGUGGUGUCCGCCUUCCGGCCACAUGGCCUCGCCACCCUCCUGAGUCUUGUGUGGGUCUCAAGGGCAUCUCUGCUUAAGGUGGCUGCUGGCCUGGGCCCAGUCUCCUCUUCUGCGGAGGGCCCUCCGAGUUCACCCGAAGCGAACACACGGGAGCAAAGCAGGCCGGACUGGGUGUGCGCGCCAGGACCCCGGACGAGGUGACACCAGGACCUGGAGAGCAGGCCAGAGCGGCUCCUCAAAUUUUCUGGCACCUUCCACCCACAGAGGCUGUAGAGAGGAG
Long non-coding RNA from Suricata suricatta (meerkat), 486 nucleotides. RefSeq lists it as uncharacterized. Lineage: Eukaryota; Metazoa; Chordata; Mammalia; Carnivora; Herpestidae. The record is from RefSeq and is a predicted model, not a curated record. The transcript has 3 exons.